Molecule: ribosomal RNA, 496 nt
Filed under: uncultured bacterium
Lineage: Bacteria
Description: partial 16S ribosomal RNA
Rfam family: Bacterial small subunit ribosomal RNA
Source: RNAcentral
GAUGAACGCUGGCGGCGUGCCUAAUACAUGCAAGUCGAGCGAACGGACGAGAAGCUUGCUUCUCUGAUGUUAGCGGCGGACGGGUGAGUAACACGUGGAUAACCUACCUAUAAGACUGGGAUAACUUCGGGAAACCGUAGCUAAUACCGGAUAAUAUUUUGAACCGCAUGGUUCAAAAGUGAAAGACGGUCUUGCUGUCACUUAUAGAUGGAUCCGCGCUGCAUUAGCUAGUUGGUAAGGUAACGGCUUACCAAGGCAACGAUGCAUAGCCGACCUGAGAGGGUGAUCGGCCACACUGGAACUGAGACACGGUCCAGACUCCUACGGGAGGCAGCAGUAGGGAAUCUUCCGCAAUGGGCGAAAGCCUGACGGAGCAACGCCGCGUGAGUGAUGAAGGUCUUCGGACCGUAAAACUCUGUUAUUAGGGAAGAACAUAUGUGUAAGUAACUGUGCACAUCUUGACGGUACCUAAUCAGAAAGCCACGGCUAACUACGU